Girardinichthys multiradiatus is the source of this 1514-nucleotide long non-coding RNA. RefSeq lists it as uncharacterized. The record is from RefSeq and is a predicted model, not a curated record. Lineage: Eukaryota; Metazoa; Chordata; Actinopteri; Cyprinodontiformes; Goodeidae. The transcript has 2 exons.
CUUUCUGCCAGUCUGCUGGUGUGGGUGUAUACAAGUCAAAUGGGGUUGGCGGGGUGUGAGGGGGGUCAUCUGUGAUUUCCUUUGUUCUCCUGAGGCAGCAGGACAGGGCGAUGUUUUCCAGGCUGGGUAGGGGGCAGCCGAUUAUCUUUUGGGCGGUGUUUAUGACCUCUGCACCACCUUCUUGUCCUCAGCUGUGGAGCCUGAGUACCACACACCCAGACAGUACGCCAGUACGCUCUCCAACAAGGAAUGAUAGAAGGUCAGCAGCAGCUUUGUGUCUAGGUUGUUAUUUCUGAGGUCACGCAGGAAGUGGAGCUGCUGUUGGGCCUUCUUUGCCAUAUAUAAAUCCUACGUCUGUCUACUCUUCCUGGAUUUCUCCUCAGCCUUCAAUACCAUCAUCCCACAGACCUUGAUGAAUCUCUUCUCUUGGACCGAGUCCCACACUGGGGAACUGGGUCGUGGACUUCCUGACCAACAGACCUUGGACUGUCUCCUCCUCCAUUACCCUCAGCACUGGCUCGCCCCAGGGCUGCGUGUUGAGCCCCCUCCCUUUCACUCUGCUGACGUAUGACUGCUGAGACAUCCCAGCUGUCAUAUAGUGAGGUUCACAGGUGACACGGCAGUAGUGGGACGAAUCACGAAUAAUGAUGAGUCCAAAUACAGAUAGGAGGUGGAACACCUGGUGCAGUGGUGCAGAGAAAACAACCUGUGAAGAAGACUAAGAGGUGAAGAAGGACUAAGGGACAAGCGCCCUCUCCCUCCCCUGCACAUCGGAGGAGCAACUGUGGAAGUGAUCCCCAGCUUCAGAUUCCUGUGGAAUACUGGACCUGGGAGCUCAGUCCUGAGGAACUUCUACCACUGUGUACAGCAUCCUCUGCACCUGUAGCACCGUAUGGCACAGCAGCUGCACUGCUGCUAAGGCUCUGUAGAGGGUGGAAAAGGCUGCACAGAGGACUGUGGGGAGCAAUCUUCCCAACACUCCGGACCUCUACACAUCACAAUGCAGCGGGAGUCAUGAAGGACUCCACCCAUCCCGCACACAUACUGUUUCAGCCUCUCCCCUCAGGCAGGAGGCUGAGGAGGUUUCAGAGCAAGACCACCAGACUCAGAAACAGCUUCUUCCUUGAAGCUGUCAGACUGCUGAACUUGAGCCACACUCUGUACACUCUCUCACUACACAAUGACCUGCACUAAACACUUCACCCACCAAACGUGCAAUAUUUCACUGGCUUAUAGAUGCAAUAUUACGGAUUACGUUAUGCUUUUAAAUGUGUAUUUAGUACUUUGCGAAGCUAACAUCAGCUCCACUAUUUAACUGUGUAUAUUUCUAUUUUUUGCUCUUCGCUGCAUGUAUUUUUACUGAUUGCUAUUUAUUGUUAGACUUAGCUUUGGUUGUUAUAGUUAGUUUUCUUUUUACUUAAUUAUUAGGCUUCUUAACCGGGACCUGAGUCCGAAUUUCAUACCUUAACAUGGAAGCGUGAGCUGGUAUUACAAUAAAAGUUCCUUGAAUCCUU